Molecule: ribosomal RNA, 417 nt
Filed under: uncultured Methylophaga sp.
Lineage: Bacteria; Pseudomonadati; Pseudomonadota; Gammaproteobacteria; Thiotrichales; Piscirickettsiaceae
Description: bacterial SSU rRNA
Rfam family: Bacterial small subunit ribosomal RNA
Source: RNAcentral
AGUCGAACGAUGAAGUCUAGCUUGCUAGACGGAUUAGUGGCGGACGGGUGAGUAAUGUAUAGGGAUCUGCCUAGUAGUGGGGGACAACAGCCGGAAACGGCUGCUAAUACCGCAUACGCUCUACGGAGGAAAGUGGGGGACCUUCGGGCCUCACGCUAUUAGAUGAACCUAUAUCAGAUUAGCUAGUUGGUGGGGUAAAGGCCUACCAAGGCGACGAUCUGUAGCUGGUCUGAGAGGAUGAUCAGCCACACUGGGACUGAGACACGGCCCAGACUCCUACGGGAGGCAGCAGUGGGGAAUAUUGGACAAUGGGCGCAAGCCUGAUCCAGCAAUGCCGCGUGUGUGAAGAAGGCCUUAGGGUUGUAAAGCACUUUCAUUGAGGAGGAAAAGUUAUGCGUUAAUAGCGUAUAGCCGUGA